CGGACGGGUGAGUAACGCGUGAGAAUCUGCCUUCAGGAUGGGGAUAACAGCGGGAAACUGCUGCUAAUACCCAAUGUGCCGAGAGGUGAAAGUAUUUCGCCUGAAGAGGAGCUCGCGUCUGAUUAGCUAGUUGGUGUGGUAAGAGCGCACCAAGGCAACGAUCAGUAGCUGGUCUGAGAGGAUGAGCAGCCACACUGGGACUGAGACACGGCCCAGACUCCUACGGGAGGCAGCAGUGGGGAAUUUUCCGCAAUGGGCGAAAGCCUGACGGAGCAAUACCGCGUGAGGGAAGAAGGUUCAAGUAAUUGUAAACCUCUUUUAUCAGGGAAGAAAAAAAUGACGUUACCUGAAGAAAAAGCAUCGGCUAACUCCGUGCCAGCAGCCGCGGUAAUACGGAGGAUGCAAGCGUUAUCCGGAAUUAUUGGGCGUAAAGCGUCCGCAGGUGGUGAAACAAGUCUGCUGUCAAAGACUAGAGCUUAACUCUGGGAAGGCGGUGGAAACUGUAGCACUAGAGACCGGUAGGGGUAGAGGGAAUUCCCAGUGUAGCGGUGAAAUGCGUAGAGAUUGGGAAGAACACCAGUGGCGAAAGCGCUCUACUGGGCCGGAACUGACACUAAGGGACGAAAGCUAGGGGAGCGAAAGGGAUUAGAUACCCCUCCUGAA
This 663-nucleotide ribosomal RNA is filed under the name uncultured bacterium. Its description in RNAcentral is "bacterial SSU rRNA". It matches the Rfam family "Bacterial small subunit ribosomal RNA", at positions 99 to 792 of the family's 1533-position model. The record is from RNAcentral.